CCCGCAGGGGCGGCCUAAAAAUGCAAGUCGAGCGGUAGCACAGGAGAGCUUGCUCUCUGGGUGACGAGCGGCGGACGGGUGAGUAAUGUCUGGGAAACUGCCUGAUGGCGGGGGAUAACUACUGGAAACGGUAGCUAAUACCGCAUAAUGUCUUCGGACCAAAGAGGGGGACCUUCGGGCCUCUUGCCAUCAGAUGUGCCCAGAUGGGAUUAGCUAGUAGGUGAGGUAAUGGCUCACCUAGGCGACGAUCCCUAGCUGGUCUGAGAGGAUGACCAGCCACACUGGAACUGAGACACGGUCCAGACUCCUACGGGAGGCAGCAGUGGGGAAUAUUGCACGAUGGGCGCAAGCCUGAUGCAGCCAUGCCGCGUGUGUGAAGAAGGCCUUCGGGAUGUAUAGCACUUUCAU
This 408-nucleotide ribosomal RNA is filed under the name Pectobacterium carotovorum. Its description in RNAcentral is "bacterial SSU rRNA". It matches the Rfam family "Bacterial small subunit ribosomal RNA", at positions 39 to 439 of the family's 1533-position model. Lineage: Bacteria; Pseudomonadati; Pseudomonadota; Gammaproteobacteria; Enterobacterales; Pectobacteriaceae. The record is from RNAcentral.